This is a non-coding RNA of Cricetulus griseus (Chinese hamster), 1494 nucleotides long. The record is from RefSeq and is a predicted model, not a curated record. NCBI's taxonomy places the organism in Eukaryota, Metazoa, Chordata, Mammalia, Rodentia, Cricetidae.
AAAUGAAAAGGGACUAUAUGUCCUCUGACAAUCACAUCUGCUCUUUCCUUGCCCCUCACAUUUUAAAAAGAAAGGUUAGGUUUGGCCCCACCUCCUUGCCUGUACCACAUCUGCCCUGUCAACACUAGACACUGUCCUACUGCCUUGGCCUCUUCUAGCGUAUCCCUCCUUGGCUCAGCCUUGUUCCCCAAAGUCUCGUGAGGUGUAUUUGUUUUGUUUUUGCAUGCGAGGCAUGAGCUUUAAGGCUGAGCUGCAUUCCCAUCCCUUAUUUUAUUAUUAUUGUUUGUUUAGACAAGGUCUAGAAUUCACACUCUUACUGGGUCAGCUUCUUGAGUGCUGAGAUUACAGCCAUGCUCUCUUACAUAGGACUUUUAACACAGAGUAGUUUUUCUCAUCUGUGUUCAAAAACCUAUUCCUUUGAUGGAUAGUUAGCUGCUUGGGAGGAGGAAAAUAGGCUUCUUUUAUUAAUCUAUUCAUAUUUCAGCGAUUAACUGAUGCUAUAAAUAUUUUUCCAGAAAUAAGUAUAUAUAUAGUCUAGUGAAGAUUAUGUAGACUAAAAAUUUUGGAGAAUAGGACAAGUUUGCCUCCUAACCUGCUCUCUCAGCUCCCCUCACUUUGAAAACAAAAAUUUGUUUCUGCAAUUACAAAUGACAGAAAUGUUCUAAGUCCCUUUCCUGUCCCCUGUCCUUUCAGUUCUGAUGGUAGCAGGUGAUGUAAGUGAUAGGGAGUACACUUGUGAAUAUUAGGCACUUGUUUUGCGCUCACCAUUUUCUCCCAUGACAUCAUAGGUGAAAUGAUUAUUUACAUUGUAUACAAAGGGAAAUUCCUUCUUAGGUUUAUAAGAGUACCAGCUAUUGCCUAUGGAUACAUUCACACAAUAGAAGUGGAUUGUAGUAACUGGUAUCUGUGAUAAUUACAGAUGCAGUGUCAAGCAAGUGGCUGGGUCGUUUUGGAAAACGGUGUUAUAAUACUGCAGGAUCUAAUGAACAACAGAUGGGGGUUAAUGUGUAAUGAUACAACAUCUGAACUGAAGAUGUGAAAGAAGCCAUCAGAAGGCUUCCUGACCUAAACAGCAGACUCUUUAGCAUUGAGAGAGCCCUGGACAUGACUGUGAAGCAUCAGAUCUUGCCUAAGGAGCAGUGGACGAAGUAUGAGGAGUUAGAAGAGGUUUCAUAUGUCUAUCAAUCUGAUACUCAGGAUGCAGUUUCAGAAGCAGAGAAACACACUCACUGGGGCAGUACAUUUGUGUUCUCCAAGUCACACCACAUAAAUAGCAUUUCAGCAGCAAAAUGAGGACAAAUUCUCCCUUGAAUCCUCUCUGAGAAGUUAUUUGGGAAGAAGAGAGAAAAAUGGGCGAAGAGGUGAUCUUUUUUUUACUCGAGAUCCUGAUGUGCCUGGUCCAGCAUAUUUUUAUGAAGUUGGUUCAACCUGAAUCACAAUUUAAGAAUUAUUUUCUCUGCAAGUAAUUUUAAAUAAAUGCCUAUUAUAACCAUU